GUCUACGGCCAUACCACCCUGAACGCGCCCGAUCUCGUCUGAUCUCGGAAGCUAAGCGGGGUCGGGCCUGGUUAGUACUUAGAUGGGAGAAAAAGAAAUUAAGGAGUCAAUCC
This 113-nucleotide ribosomal RNA is filed under the name Neogale vison (American mink). The record is from RNAcentral. Lineage: Eukaryota; Metazoa; Chordata; Mammalia; Carnivora; Mustelidae.